RNAcentral lists this transfer RNA (83 nucleotides) under Schistocephalus solidus. It matches the Rfam family "tRNA". From Rfam's summary of the family: Transfer RNA (tRNA) molecules are approximately 80 nucleotides in length. Their secondary structure includes four short double-helical elements and three loops (D, anti-codon, and T loops). The record is from Rfam by way of RNAcentral. Lineage: Eukaryota; Metazoa; Platyhelminthes; Cestoda; Diphyllobothriidea; Diphyllobothriidae.
GGCCUUGUAGCUCAGAUGGUUAGAGCGUCGGCCUAACUGAUGCCUUCCUUUUGCUUUCAUGGGUUCAAAUCGCAACGAGGCCA